UCGGUUUGCAAGACAGACCUUAUGAAAGCAGUUUUAGUAAAGCAGCCUCAGUUACGCAGUGUUAUCUUCUGAUUACUCUUCUUCAUGAGCCUCCUCCUAGUGCCUAAGUAAGUCCCGCUCUUGAACAGAUACUGUUCGCCACAUAUUGUGGCUUAAAAAAAAUAAAUUUAGAAGGUAAUAUCUAUGUCUAACAAAAUGACUGGUUUAGUAAAAUGGUUUAACUCUGAUAAAGGUUUCGGUUUUAUCUCUCCUACAGAUGGCAGCAAAGACGUAUUCGUCCAUUUCUCUGCAAUCCAGAGCGACAACUUCCGUACUCUUGAUGAAGGCCAAAAAGUUGAGUUCACUAUUGAGAACGGCGCUAAAGGCCCAGCAGCUGCGAACGUAGUUGCAAUCUAAUUUCUCUGAA
RNAcentral lists this small RNA (406 nucleotides) under Providencia rustigianii. RNAcentral's name for it is "cspA thermoregulator". It matches the Rfam family "cspA thermoregulator". Lineage: Bacteria; Pseudomonadati; Pseudomonadota; Gammaproteobacteria; Enterobacterales; Morganellaceae. The record is from RNAcentral.